Molecule: long non-coding RNA, 2486 nt
Organism: Gadus morhua (Atlantic cod)
Lineage: Eukaryota; Metazoa; Chordata; Actinopteri; Gadiformes; Gadidae
Source: Ensembl
CGACAGACAGAGGCAGACAGACAGACAGACAGACAGACAGACAGACAGACAGAUGAGAUGCAGGUGUUUUCAUCUCUUCUCUUUCUUCUGACUUGCCUCAACAUGGUUACGGCGGUAACAGGUUGCCAUAGUGACAGGGAUAAGGAUGACCGUCCACGCCAGAACUGCACAGCUGGAGGAUUCAACAACAUCCCCUCAGGACUCGAACCCACAACCGAGGUGCUGCUGCUUCCUAUCAACCAGCUGUCGUCUCUAUCUUGGUCCGAUUACAGGAUGUUCCCCAAAAUCUACGAGAUCGACCUAACAUCUAACCAGAUCCAUGCUCUCUCUGAGGUAUUUCUGAGGGGGUCUGAAGACUCUGAGGGUUCUACGUCUGGGUUCAAACGGUUUGGAAGUUCUGGCAGACGGAUGUUUCUCCCCCUUCCCCUUCCUGGCGGAACUCUACCUCCCCCACAACUCCCUUGUCUCCCUCCCAGACGACGUCUUUAAGGAUCUCAACAAGCUGGAGAUCCUGGAUCUGUCGUCCAAUAGGAUCAUAGUUCUUCCUCCAAAAAUCAUCUACCCCCUCGAGGUCAUAGAGACGCUUUACCUAGAAAACAACAAGAUCCAGGCGAUUCCAGAUGACUGGUUCAGCGUACAGGACAUGGGAAUCCCCUAUCUGUUCCUCUCGGCCAAUCCGUGGCGCUGCUCCUGUUCCCUUGGCUACCUGCACGAUUACCUUCUAGAAUUCGAAUCCUCGGUGUAUGUGAGAAAUGGGACAGUCGUCAACUCAAGGCCAAAGAGUGUGGUGUGUCACUCUCCUGGGAGGCUGGAGGGGAGACCUGUGAUUGACCUGAAGGCUGAGGACCUCUGCCCCCCUAUCAUUACUACUGCUCCUACUUCUCUUACUGCCCCCCCUACUACUGCUGCUCCUACUACUACCACUGCUCCUACUACUGCUGCUCCUACUACUACUACUACUGAUCCUACUACUACUGCUGCUCCUACUACUACUACCACUGCUCCUACUACUGCUGCUCCUACUACUACUACUACUGAUCCUACUACUACUACUACUGAUCCUACUACUACUGCUGCUGCUACUACUACCACUACUGAUCUUACUACUACUAAUGCUCCUACUACUACCACUGCUCCUACUACAACUGCUGCUAUUACUACUGCUUCUACUACUCCUCCUGCUCCUACUAUGCUCCUCCAAUGGGUGAGCAGCACAGAGUAUCCAGUGGCUGCCAUCGGUAGUUCCAGUGGUAUCGCCACGUCGACGCCCACCCCGAUGCCCAACACCUCCGUGGCGACGGCCGCCGUGGCAACGGCCGCCGUACCGACCGAGGUCGGAGGGUUCCAGCCGGGGGCCAGACGCGGCGGCGGCGGCGGCGGCGUGCGUGCGUACUGCGCCUGGCUGUUUGCAGGGUGUGUGUUGCUGUGCGCGCUGUCGCUGGCGUGCACGGCGCUGUCCACGGCGUGGCUGGUCCUGUGGUACCGCCGGGCGCACGGAGCCCCCCUCAGAGACGCACCGAGGGAGAAGAGGGGAGGAGGGGGACGAAGGCUGGAGUCGCUGAGGAUGAUGAGCUGCCGGAAGGGAAGGAGGGAGGAGAGCGUGUCCAGAGAGGAGUCUUUCCAUCUGUUCAGCAGGCAGGAAGAGAUAGCGUGUCGGCUGGCCGGGGCGGGCGGGGGGGCGCUCGGGGCUCGCUACAGCGUUGUGCUGAGGGAGGAGAGGGAGGGAGGGGAGGGUGCGGCGAGGGACUGGGUGGUGGGGGGCUGGGCGGUGACUCCGGGCACAGGAGCCGUCAGGAGCAGCUGGGGGGAGUGGCUUACUCAUUAUCUACCCAACAUGCCUUGGGGCGCGGCCGUGCCCUCGGAGGGCGCUCCGGCGGAGUGAUGUCGGCAGCUCUUCCGUGACCUUCCGUACGUGUCAUAAGCCCUACGAUGUGUCCGUGGUUUAAGUGUAUUAAAAAUGCAUUCUACUGUUCAACUGUAUGCUAUAUCCGACUUCAUUGAGCUUUAAGUGUUGCGGUCUAAUUGAUGAGACAGGAAGGGAGAGUGUCAAUCACCGGUGAGGGACAGGCGAGGGUACAAGGGGGUUGGAUGUGUGCCUUCCUGGUUCCUGUUAAAUCCCAAGAUGUUUGACAAACGAGACGACCACCCACCCAACUAUCAACUGGACCCCGUCAGACCAUCUUAAUCAUACCGGACGAUCUGAUCGGUCCAAAAAAAAAAAAAAAAAAAAAAUUUGAAUUUGUCAAUUUUUUUAUACUUUUUUUUUUAGCUGGCCAUGUGGUGACAAACCUGUAGGCCUACCUAGUGUUAACCACCAUACCUGACCAGUGCACUAUCAAGACGCCUGGGAUCCUUUUCCCGAAGGUUAUACUGGACAUUACAAAUGACAUUAUAAAGAAAUAGGUUUCCCUUAAAGUUAACCUUUUGUGGGUAAACCCUUCUUAUUGGCCGUAUGUUCGGGACUCAAACCUGUGGCUACAGAGCGU